ACUCAGCUGGGACGAACAAUUACCACCUGAUCUGACACGAGAAUGGCAGCAGUGGUGUUCAGAACUACCCCAGUUACACCAGCUUGGCUGUGCUUCCAUUUGUAGUCUGUAAUGGUUUUCAAGCCCUGCCACAUCCGACGAGCAUCAGAGCUGGUGUAGUAUGAUUCAAUCUCAGUCCUGUAUUGGUACUUUGCCUGUUUGAUGGUUCGUCGGAGGGCAGAGCAGGAUUUUUUAUAAGCUUCUGGGUUGGAGUCCCGCACCUUGAAAGCAGCAGCUCUACCCUUUAGCUCAGUGCAAAUGUUGCCUGUAAUCCAUGGCUUCUGGUUGGGGCCGAUGCUUGCCAUGCGUACCAGAUCGUCCACAAGAAUGGCAUCCCUGACAAGCAGAUUGUUGUGAUGAUGUAUGAUGAUCUGGCAACCAAUGAGAAGUGGCGAAUCGCAUCUCUGCAUGUCUGGCAGACAUAUCAGUGUGGAUGACGGAUCACCACCUCAAGCUGAACCUCGGCAAGACGGAGCUGCUCUUCCUCCCGGGGAAGGACUGCCCGUUCCAUGAUCUCGCCAUCACGGUUGACAACUCCAUUGUGUCCUCCUCCCAGAGCGCUAAGAACCUUGGCGUGAUCCUGGACAACACCCUGUCGUUCUCAACUAACAUCAAGGCGGUGGCCCGUUCCUGUAGGUUCAUGCUCUACAACAUCCGCAGAGUACGACCCUGCCUCACACAGGAAGC
Long non-coding RNA from Oncorhynchus masou masou (cherry salmon), 726 nucleotides. RefSeq lists it as uncharacterized. The transcript is spliced from 3 exons. The record is from RefSeq and is a predicted model, not a curated record. NCBI's taxonomy places the organism in Eukaryota, Metazoa, Chordata, Actinopteri, Salmoniformes, Salmonidae.